GAUGAACGCUCGCGGCGUGCCUAAUACAUGCAAGUCGAGCGAACAGACGAGGAGCUUGCUCCUCUGACGUUAGCGGCGGACGGGUGAGUAACACGUGGAUAACCUACCUAUAAGACUGGGAUAACUUCGGGAAACCGGAGCUAAUACCGGAUAAUAUAUUGAACCGCAUGGUUCAAUAGUGAAAGACGGUUUUGCUGUCACUUAUAGAUGGAUCCGCGCCGCAUUAGCUAGUUGGUAAGGUAACGGCUUACCAAGGCAACGAUGCGUAGCCGACCUGAGAGGGUGAUCGGCCACACUGGAACUGAGACACGGUCCAGACUCCUACGGGAGGCGGCAGUAGGGAAUCUUCCGCAAUGGGCGAAAGCCUGACGGAGCAACGCCGCGUGAGUGAUGAAGGUCUUCGGAUCGUAAAACUCUGUUAUUAGGGAAGAACAAAUGUGUAAGUAACUAUGCACGUCUUGACGGUACCUAAUCAGAAAGCCACGGCUAACUACGUG
RNAcentral lists this ribosomal RNA (497 nucleotides) under uncultured bacterium. RNAcentral's name for it is "partial 16S ribosomal RNA". It matches the Rfam family "Bacterial small subunit ribosomal RNA", at positions 28 to 507 of the family's 1533-position model. The record is from RNAcentral.